Molecule: ribosomal RNA, 214 nt
Filed under: Pseudomonas simiae
Lineage: Bacteria; Pseudomonadati; Pseudomonadota; Gammaproteobacteria; Pseudomonadales; Pseudomonadaceae
Description: partial 23S ribosomal RNA
Rfam family: Bacterial large subunit ribosomal RNA
Source: RNAcentral
UGGCAUUGCCGGGUAGCUAUGUUCGGAAUAGAUAACCGCUGAAAGCAUCUAAGCGGGAAACUAGCCUCAAGAUGAGAUCUCACUGGGACCUUGAGUCCCCUGAAGGGCCGUCGAAGAUACGACGUUGAUAGGUUGGGUGUGUAAGCGCUGUGAGGCGUUGAGCUAACCAAUACUAAUUGCCCGUGAGGCUUGACCAUAUAACACCCAAGCAAUU